Molecule: ribosomal RNA, 230 nt
Filed under: uncultured bacterium
Lineage: Bacteria
Description: partial 16S ribosomal RNA
Rfam family: Bacterial small subunit ribosomal RNA
Source: RNAcentral
UGAGCAACCUGCCCUUAGCUCUGGGAUAACCCCGGGAAACCGGGGCUAAUACCGGAUAUGAGUCCGAGCGGCAUCACGCGGACUGGAAAGUUUUUCGGCUAAGGAUGGGCUCGCGGCCUAUCAGCUCGUUGGUGGGGUAAUGGCCUACCAAGGCGACGACGGGUAGCCGGCCUGAGAGGGCGACCGGCCACACUGGGACUGAGACACGGCCCAGACUCCUACGGGAGGCA